Molecule: long non-coding RNA, 728 nt
Organism: Onychostoma macrolepis
Lineage: Eukaryota; Metazoa; Chordata; Actinopteri; Cypriniformes; Cyprinidae
Exons: 5
Source: RefSeq, a predicted model, not a curated record
CUCAAUCAUGUACAUGUUUCUCUCUUUACAGAGCUCAGUGGAGGCAAACAUCAGCUGAUUUUUCCUAUAGAAAAACUGAAUCUCACUGAUAAACAAGGUGCAAAACUGUAUAUGAAGCAACACACUGAAGAUGUGUGUAAUCAUCUGAGUCAUUGGUUCAGUUUCUGGCCUUUCAAUGUUUGGAUGAGCAUUUGUAGAUGCAUGGCUCACUGGAUCUGGGGCAGGAAUUAUAACUUCCUCCAGAACAUGAAUGAUAAAGCAGCACUGUCCACUAUUAAUAAAAGUGAGACGAGAGACUAUGAAGAUGCCAGACUGUUCCUUUCAAAAGCGAUCCUUUCACGGAUGGUGCCCCCCUGGGAGAUGGUGCCCAACGCAAACUGCGUACUCUGCGUAUAGGGAGCGGCGGUACUGACUGAUGCAUAUCCAGUAGUUUGUGCAGAGAAUGGAAGCUGAAGCGCGCUUUACAGGACAUGGACGCGCCAGAGCGAUCACUUGCUUUGGAAACAUUUCGAAAUACGCUGUCAUGUUUGCUCAUAAAGAAUCCUGCUGAAGAUACAACCCGAAGUCUCCAUGGUCUUCACUUCUGAGUUGCCUAAACUUUAGAAGAUAAAAGUUCACAACAGAUGGUGCCGUGACCCGGAUAGAGCUCCUCACCUGAAUCCAGAAUGAAAACUUCAACAAAGUUCAACAAAGAUCUGACUUCGUUCCAGACUGAAUCUUUCUGUACA